UACGUAGGGGGCUAGCGUUGUCCGGAAUCAUUGGGCGUAAAGCGCGUGUAGGCGGUUCGGUAAGUCCGCUGUGAAAGUCGGGGGCUCAACCCUCGGAUGCCGGUGGAUACUGUCGGACUAGAGUACGGAAGAGGCGAGUGGAAUUCCUGGUGUAGCGGUGAAAUGCGCAGAUAUCAGGAGGAACACCAGUGGCGAAGGCGAGUCCCUGGACAACUCCUGACACUGAGGCACGAAAGCUAGGGGAGCAAACAGG
This 253-nucleotide ribosomal RNA is filed under the name uncultured bacterium. RNAcentral's name for it is "partial 16S ribosomal RNA". It matches the Rfam family "Bacterial small subunit ribosomal RNA", at positions 524 to 776 of the family's 1533-position model. The record is from RNAcentral.